Molecule: ribosomal RNA, 491 nt
Filed under: uncultured bacterium
Lineage: Bacteria
Description: bacterial SSU rRNA
Rfam family: Bacterial small subunit ribosomal RNA
Source: RNAcentral
AUUGAACGCUGGCGGAAUGCUUUACACAUGCAAGUCGAACGGCAGCACGGGGCAACCUGGUGGCGAGUGGCGAACGGGUGAGUAAUACAUCGGAACGUGCCCAAUCGUGGGGGAUAACGUAGCGAAAGUUACGCUAAUACCGCAUACGAUCUACGGAUGAAAGCAGGGGAUCGCAAGACCUUGCGCUGAUUGAGCGGCCGAUAUCAGAUUAGCUAGUUGGUGGGGUAAAAGCCUACCAAGGCGAUGAUCGGUAGCUGGUCUGAGAGGAUGGUCAGCCACACUGGGACUGAGAUACGGCCCAGACUCCUACGGGAGGCAGCAGUCGAGAGGCUUCGGCAAUGGGGGAAACCCUGACCGAGCGACGCCGCGUGAGGGAUGAAGGCCCUUGGGUUGUAAACCUCUUUUGUUCGGGAAGAAGUGCGAUCAGGUGAAUAAUCUGGUCGUUUUGACGGUACCGGACGAAUAAGCUCCGGCUAACUCCGUGCCAGCAG